CAGCUUCUAACUAGGGUAAAAAUGUAUAUCUGACACAUGUCUUUCAUCUUGAAUACAGGAGGAACCCGUAAAUCUCAACAAUAGGAAGAUUAGAAAGAAAUUUAGAACAGAAUGCAAAGAUUUGAACAGAUAAAUUGUUUUAAUAAGACAUGUGGAUGACAGCUAAGUGGAUGGAAAGAUGUUGGACACCAUUUGCUCCUGGUACAGACAGAUUAAAUCACCAUGGGAUAUGUGAGGUGUCUGCCAACGUAUUCCAACCCAAUGAUGAUUCCAAGUGUUGUCAGACAUAUGGAGAACCUGGGACCUCAGAUAUACUCCCCAGGAGAAAAAGUGGUGUAACUAUCUUGGAUAUAAUUUGCUAAAUUCUACAAAACAUUAAGCUCUCUAUUAUAUGACUUGUUCAUGUCAUUCACAGGUAUUAUCCAAAGGACAAAUAAUGUCUUCACAGAGCCUGGUACAUGCCUAGAAGUUUUAUUUUUACCCACUUAUCGGACAGUGUUCCAGGUACACAUUUCUCCUGUAGAGGCUGGCAGUCACCCCAUUUAUUGCAGCAACUUCUUCCUACCUAGAAGGAAGCUUUCCUACAAGAUUGGUGAAACCUCUUGGCUUUGCUGCUGGAGAGUUCUAAGACUGAAAUUGCUGAAGAACUGGAGCUGUUUCCUACUUCCUCCAAAUUCCUAACACUCCAGGGCUCACCACCUGUUGAUGGUCCAUGGAAGCAGAAUGAGGUGAGCAUUACAACUUGGAAUUUCAAUCUCAAGGAGCAAGGCUCAGAAGGAAAACAGCUACUCGGGGAGGAGAAAUGAGAGUGUGGAAGAUUUCUAGAGACAGACAUAGGGUAGAUGAUGGGCGGCAGCUGUGGUGGUGUGGACAGAGCUCUGGGAGCCCAGGGUGUGAUGCUAAAUUCAAUUCCACUCUCAAAUUUUCACAGGAAGAUUCAGGCAGGGAUCUUUCCAUCUGAGCCAACCUUGUAAAUAAUUAUAGUUCCCAUCUUAGAAACAUUGCGAUCCUUACACAGAACAGCACACAUGAAUGUGUUCGGCAUACAGCAACAUUGAAUGCGAAUGGAUUGAAUUGAGUGUAAAGAGACAAAUUAGUGUUAUGGUAGAAACAGUCCCCAUCACUCUGACACUGGGCAUUUAGAUACUCAAAUUAGAUACCUGGAUCAUCAGCACAUCAGCUACUGUCCUCAGACUCUGUGACAAGUACCAAAGAAAAACAGCUCAAAGGAGUAAAUACUGAUUUUGGCUUGGGGCUUCAGAGGCUUCAGUCUAUGACCCACUGACCCCAUUGUUUAUAAACCUCUGGCAGAGAAGAAACCUUGUGGUGGAAAAGCAGGGUGGAGGAAUGGAAGGAAUGGAGGACAGAAUGUCAUGGGAAAGAGAGAAGAGAGAACGGGAAGGAGAAGGAUAAUGAUGAUGGCAAUGAGGAGAAGGAGAGGAAGAGAGGGAAGAGAAGGAGGAAAAGUAGGAAAAAGGAGAGGAAAGAGACACAAGACAUAACUCCACAGGUAUCCCUGCCACCCUGUGACCCACUUCCUCCACUCCCACCCUAUCUUCCUUCCAUACAUUUGACUGAUUUCUAGUAGUCCAUUCAGCUAAGGCACCCAUUAGAGGCCUCAUAGUCCAAUCAUUGUAGUCAUGACACCAGCUUGGGAUCAAGCCUUUCACACAUAUGUUUUUUGUUUGUUUGUUUUGUUUUUUUCGAGUCACGGUUUUUCUGUGUAGCCCUGGCUGUCCUGGAACUCACUCUGUAGACCAGACUGAACUUUAACUCAGAAAUCUGCCUGCCUCUGCCUCCCAAGUGCUGGGAUUAAAGGCAUGCACCACCACGCCCGGCUCACACAUAUGUUUUUUAAAGAUGAUUUUACAUUAAGUUCAUCUGUGUUUGAGUAUGUACCUACCAUAGCAUCCCUGUGGAGACUAAAUGGUAACUCCAGAGACAAGUUUUCUCCUUCUUCUAUGUAGGUUGGGGGUAGGAGCAAACUCAGGUCAUCAGGCUUCGCAGCAAUUGUAUUUAUCCCUUCAGUCACCUUGCUGGCCCCACCAAUGAACCUUUUAAGAGGUCACUUCACAUUCAAAUAACAACUCAUAAGAAAUAGGAAAUGAAGGUGAGAGCACUUACAUGAACUUGAGCUACUCCAUUCAAGGCUAAGUCCAUGAUUUUUCUCUCUUUGAAAACUCCUUGAGAGAAAUCGAAGACUUGGUAUCAGCAACCUGCAUCAUCACUGGCUUUAAUGCAGCCCCAAGUAACCAGCAGGGGACUGUGGGAACAUGUUGGAUCAGCUUUGGAAACACACAUAGUGCCACUGGGCUUCUGUCCUUGGCCUUUCUAGUGUAUGCACACUAAUUGGCCUGGGAAGUCCUGGGUAUUUGCCUCCUUAAAAGACUUGGCUGAUUCAAUGGAGGUUCCUCUGAAAAUGCAGCCAGCUUGAGACCUUCUCAAGGUGGGCUUAAUUGCUCUCUUAGGUUGAUGUGUUGCCUCCAUUGGGGGAUCCCAGCUAUAAUCUGUCUUUCACUUUCCAUGCCUAUGUGUAUUAUGUUGUAAUAAUAGAUAUAUUUUCAAAACCCAGUGCUGUUUCAUAAGAUGUGUUUUCCUUAUAUGAUGAGGGCAUGGGAUAUGGAGAGAAAGGUUUUGCUCCACAGGGACCCAGGCCAAUAUAGACAGGAUGUAGUAAGUAUGUGUCUUUCAAGGUCAUGUCCAUUUCCAGGCAGAUGGAAAAACAAAUCAUGAAUAAUCAUGGUGAUGAUUUUGAAAGAUGAGAAUAGGAAAUAGCACGUGUCCCUCUGUCGUGAGCAGCAGAUCCCAGAGAGGUGAGGAGGUGUGCGCUCGGGAUGGCUUAUCAUAUGAAACUUCUGCACCAAGACUACAUAGAAUUUGUUUAGUGAGGCAGGACAUUGAGAACUUAGGAGAGUGGCUCCUGGAUCAUGAUUAUGUAACUUGAACCCCGAUUAUCCAUCUUCAUCAUCAAUGGUUUCCUUACCUGUGAAACAGUCUUGAUAAUAUGUGUUGGAAUAAACACAAAGAUUCUUAGGAGUUAAAGGCA
Long non-coding RNA from Mus spicilegus (steppe mouse), 3046 nucleotides. The record is from Ensembl. NCBI's taxonomy places the organism in Eukaryota, Metazoa, Chordata, Mammalia, Rodentia, Muridae.